This is a long non-coding RNA of Myodes glareolus (Bank vole), 1883 nucleotides long. RefSeq lists it as uncharacterized. NCBI's taxonomy places the organism in Eukaryota, Metazoa, Chordata, Mammalia, Rodentia, Cricetidae. The record is from RefSeq and is a predicted model, not a curated record.
CUGGGUAUCGGCUGCAGACUGGGCGCCUAGCGCCGAGGCAGUUGCUUGGACCCUUGCUGUGAUGUCGAGCUUUCGCGGUCACCUCGCCUCCGGGUGCUCCUUCUGAAGCCCUGACGUCGAGGGUUCGGUGCCCGCUGGUACCCUGAGCGAGGCCUUGGGGAAGGUCGGAACCCGGCCGGCCUCACCUGAGCCGAUCAGGACCCGCCUCCCGACCUUCUUCCUGCUCGGUCCAGAUCCCCAGCUUGCCCUAGAGGAGGCUUCAAGUCGAAAUUAUGACUUGAAAAGCUUUUGGGAACUGCUGCUUCCUGUUCGCAGUAGAACGCUCACUGUGGCCUCUCACUUGCUGUGUGCCUCUGAAAAAAGAUGUUUUGCCUGCAUGUAUGCCCGAGCACCACAUGUGUGCAAUGCCUGUGGAAGCUAGAAGAAAGAAUGGGAGCCUCUGGAACUAGAGUUACAGAUUCCGCGUGUGAAUGAAUGUGUGACUAGGCCGGCUCCCCAAGUCUCUACUGGCUCUGCAAGUGCAGAAGGCUCCCCUCCCUGAUGGCAGAGGACUCCGCUCCCCGAGAUGGGAGAGUCACCUGAGGGCCAGGGUCACCACAGGAGAGAAAUAACUUGACACCUUUGGUUGGAAAGGACUCACUCACCUUCAGCAUGCUGGACCAGAAGGCGUAAAGUAGACAAUAGGAGAUAAUUGGUUUGCAAGGAGGAAGAGAAGCCAACAGCUGCAUUCCAGCUCUGGCUGUAUGAUCAAAUGACAUGCAGGUUGUAUGAUUGUAUGGUGGUCAGACCACAAAGAGUUGAACGUGAACCACCCCCAUCUCGUUGCAGAAACUGUCCCCUUCUGUGGCAUUUGAAGACUGGGCAGCAUUGUAAUGAUCUUAACAGCAUAAAAACAUAAUUUGGUUCCUAGGUCAUUUUUAGAGUUCAUGUUCAAAUAAGGGGAUAGGCAAAUGCAAAUUGGCUUUUUUAAAAAAGGAAAGAAUAACGAGACAAGUUUCUUUCUUGUGUAGUUGGAAACGGGCUGAAGAAGUUCCCCAGAGCGUGGCAAUAGGUGCCUUGGCAGGACAGGUGCACGGUGGAGGUGCACUAGGAGCCAAUUUCUUCCCAUGUCUAAGUGUCCUGAACCACGCAGAACUAUCAGGAAGAGAGCUCUGGCAGGCUCCCUUGUGGGCAGAGACAGUCAGUCUGAGGGAGAGACAGAGCCCGGUGUGCCUGUGUGCACACGGCUGUGCGCAUAUGGACGGCGCUAAGAUGCGAAUCACACUGAGCGGCAGAGCGGGAUGUGCCUGUGUGCACACGGUUGUGCACAUAUGAACAGCGCUAAGAUGUGUCUCACACUGGAUGAUAUUCUACUUUCAGAAUUUUUGUAUUUAAUAACUCACCAAGGUUCUGAUUUGUCUUAUAGUUGUUAUUUCUUUUUAAAUUCUCAAAUGUGUUAUAAUAAAAUAUAAAACCAAGGUAGACACACUUGAAUACCGAAAACCCAAGCAGUGUAGCACAGACAGGCCUUAGCAUGUGGUUUUAUAAUCUGUCUGCUUAAGAGUGCUCAAUUAUUUUCACAAAUUCCAAGUGUGAAUGUGUGCCUAGGUGCUAAUUACCAUUUUAAAAAGCACUCAGCUGUCUCGCACAGCACAAUGCCAACAGACAAUCCUAAUUUUAACUUUUUUCCUUACGCAGGGUGCUUUUUUCCCAAGUAUUUAGUUGCCCCCUGCUGGCCAUAUAAGUACAGAAUUUCUUUUUUAAAGUUCCCAACAGAUUGAUCAUAUUUAAUAAAGCUAAGCUUCUGAAGAGGUGUAUUUACCUUUUUAAAAUACAUUGCAGGGCUGGAAAGAUGGCUCAGUGGUUAAAAGCGCUGGCUGCUCUUCCAGAGGACUGAGUUCAAU